RNAcentral lists this ribosomal RNA (253 nucleotides) under uncultured bacterium. RNAcentral describes it as "partial 16S ribosomal RNA". It matches the Rfam family "Bacterial small subunit ribosomal RNA", at positions 524 to 776 of the family's 1533-position model. The record is from RNAcentral.
UACGGGGGGGGCAAGCGUUGUUCGGAAUUACUGGGCGUAAAGGGCUCGUAGGCGGCCAACUAAGUCAGACGUGAAAUCCCCCGGCUUAACCAGGGAACUGCGUCUGAUACUGGAUGGCUUGAGUUUGGGAGAGGGAUGCGGAAUUCCAGGUGUAGCGGUGAAAUGCGUAGAUAUCUGGAGGAACACCGGUGGCGAAGGCGGCAUCCUGGACCAUGACUGACGCUGAGGAGCGAAAGCCAGGGGAGCAAACGGG